RNAcentral lists this small nucleolar RNA (145 nucleotides) under Musca domestica (house fly). RNAcentral describes it as "small nucleolar RNA psi28S-1192". It matches the Rfam family "Small nucleolar RNA psi28S-1192". Rfam says of the family: psi28S-1192 is a member of the H/ACA class of snoRNA. This family is responsible for guiding the modification of uridine 1192 to pseudouridine in Drosophila 28S rRNA. Lineage: Eukaryota; Metazoa; Arthropoda; Insecta; Diptera; Muscidae. The record is from Rfam by way of RNAcentral.
UGGUUGUCCUCUCUAAUGCCAUGUUAUGUCUCAUAGCCGAUUAACAAGGCCUCGCUUGUGGACUAUAAAAUAUAAUGGUUCUAUUAUCCUAGCACCUGAUGUGAUUGAUAAAAUUUGUGUGCUCGAGAAACGUAGAUCUAUAAUU